This 465-nucleotide ribosomal RNA is filed under the name uncultured bacterium. RNAcentral describes it as "partial 16S ribosomal RNA". It matches the Rfam family "Bacterial small subunit ribosomal RNA", at positions 28 to 507 of the family's 1533-position model. The record is from RNAcentral.
GACGAACGCUGGCGGCGUGCUUAACACAUGCAAGUCGAACGGAAAGGCCCUGCUUGCAGGGUACUCGAGUGGCGAACGGGUGAGUAACACGUGGGUGAUCUGCCCUGCACUUCGGGAUAAGCCUGGGAAACUGGGUCUAAUACCGGAUAGUAGCCAUUUUUAGUGGGAUGGUUGGAAAGUUUUUUCGGUGUAGGAUGAGCUCGCGGCCUAUCAGCUUGUUGGUGGGGUAAUGGCCUACCAAGGCGGCGACGGGUAGCCGGCCUGAGAGGGUGGACGGCCACAUUGGGACUGAGAUACGGCCCAGACUCCUACGGGAGGCAGCAGUGGGGAAUAUUGCACAAUGGGCGCAAGCCUGAUGCAGCGACGCCGCGUGGGGGAUGACGGCCUUCGGGUUGUAAACUCCUUUCGCUAGGGACGAAGCUUUUUGUGACGGUACCUAGAUAAGAAGCACCGGCUAACUACGUG